GCCAACUCCAUAUAAGUGGAAGAUCAUGAGAAUUCAAACUCAAUUUAUAUCCAAAUAGUUUAAAAAUAGAAAUAGUUUCUCCUAGAGGCAAUCAUAUGACUCAUAUGCUUAAAGUGAGUGACGUAUAAUCCCCAAAAGAAUAUAAUGUCACCAGACCAUUACUUACAGUCCCUUCCAACAUUUUCAGUAAUGCCUGCUGAACACCUUCACCGGAAAC
This 217-nucleotide long non-coding RNA is filed under the name Salvia miltiorrhiza (redroot sage). RNAcentral's name for it is "long non-coding RNA (SMIL_LNC002797)". The record is from RNAcentral. Lineage: Eukaryota; Viridiplantae; Streptophyta; Magnoliopsida; Lamiales; Lamiaceae.